AUUGAACGCUGGCGGCAUGCCUUACACAUGCAAGUCGAACGGUAACAGGUCUUCGGAUGCUGACGAGUGGCGAACGGGUGAGUAAUACAUCGGAACGUGCCUAGUAGUGGGGGAUAACUACUCGAAAGAGUGGCUAAUACCGCAUGAGAUCUACGGAUGAAAGCAGGGGAUCGCAAGACCCUGUGCUACUAGAGCGGCCGAUGGCAGAUUAGGUAGUUGGUGGGAUAAAAGCUUACCAAGCCGACGAUCUGUAGCUGGUCUGAGAGGACGGUCAGCCACACUGUGACUAAGGAACGGCCCAGACUCCAACGGGGAGCAGCAGUGGAGAAUUUUGGACGAUGGGCGAAAGCCUGAUCCGGCAAUGCCGCGUUAAGGAUGAAGGCCUUCGGGUUGUGAAGUGCUUUUGUACGGAACGAAAAGCCCCGGGUUAAUACCCUGGGGUCAUGACGGUACCGUAAGAAUAAGCACCGGCUAACUACGUGCCAGCCGCCGCAGUAA
Molecule: ribosomal RNA, 498 nt
Filed under: uncultured bacterium
Lineage: Bacteria
Description: partial 16S ribosomal RNA
Rfam family: Bacterial small subunit ribosomal RNA
Source: RNAcentral